Molecule: ribosomal RNA, 1260 nt
Filed under: Triticum aestivum (bread wheat)
Lineage: Eukaryota; Viridiplantae; Streptophyta; Magnoliopsida; Poales; Poaceae
Description: partial small subunit ribosomal RNA
Source: RNAcentral
AUGCAUUCGCUUUGCCUUUUGUUGAUUUAUGCAGCCAUCCUGUUUGAUAAAAUGUCGGCACCAGCAUCCAUUCCCUGUGGUUCCAAGAGUGUGCGAGGCAACGACAACGGUGUCGACAGGCUCAGCAGCCUGUCCGACGAUCUGCUCCACCACGUGAUGUCCUUCCUGCCGACGCCGGAGGUCGUGCGCACAAGUCUUCUCUCACCAAGGUGGCGCAAUCUCUGGAGCUCUGUUCCAUUUAUCCACAUCAACAACAAAGACUUCGUGGUUAAAAAUGAUGUGGGCAUUGCUUGCUUUGAUAACCACAAGCUGGAGAACUUCGUGGACCACUUGCUGCUCUUGCGUGACGGCACUGUUUCCUUGGAUGAGGUCCGGGUCGUCAUCACGACUCGCAGUAGUAAGAAGAGUUCUGUGUGGAUUCGUCAUGCCAUCAAGCACAAAGUUCGUCUCCUUCAUAUUUCUGGAUUUCACCACCAUCUGAUUUUGGAUAGCACAGCAAUGUUUCCUUCUCUGUACCUCAAAAGAAUCAGGCUCUGGUAUGUCCGUUUGAACGAUUGGUUCGAUAAGCCGCUGAAUUAUGACUGGCCUGUGCUCGAACAUCUAGAGUUGGAGUGUUGCAUUCUCGAUACAAGGAGGAUCUCAUCGAGCUCACUCAAGGUUCUACAUAUCAUCGACUGCAUCAUUGGCAAUGAUCUCCUGAUUGGUGCUAGGAAGCUUACCCAUCUCUCUGUCAUUGACCCAGAAUGUCGUCGUGGUGCUAUAGUUACCUGGGAUCUGUCUUCUCUAGUGUCAGCUUCGCUUAGUCUAGGGUCUGAGUUUCAUUAUGAUGAUAACACAGAAGUAGAUCAUCAUCUACUUGAUGGCCUUUCACAUGCCACAACAUUGGAGUUGCAUGCACCGUUACCUGAGCUCACAUUCGAGAGGGGUUUGCAAGCAUGCCCGAUGUUCAGCAAUCUGACGAGCUUGGUGCUGGGUGAUUGGUGCAUGGCUGCUGACUUCUACCCACUGUUCCGUAUUGUCCAUCGCUCGCCCAUGCUGAAAGAGCUAACUGUUAAGCUCAAGAUGGAGCACUGUGAAACACGCAAGGAGGUUGAAUCUGCUUCAUUACCAUCAAGGCGAGCACCGGCAAUCAGGGGCUAUCCUCGUAUCGAGAGAAUCAAGAUAUGCUGCAGCAAAGAUGAUCCUAGGAUCGGUACGUUGGUGCAGGCGCUGCUACCGAUCUUCAUCCCAGACGGGAAAAUCAAUAUCGAGGGUUACUAA